GAUGAACGCUGGCGGCGUGCCUAAUACAUGCAAGUCGAGCGCGAGAGUGAGGAGCUUGCUCCUCAUAAUCGAGCGGCGGACGGGUGAGUAACACGUAGGCAACCUACCCUUGAGAUUGGGAUAACUACCGGAAACGGUAGCUAAUACCGGAUACGACUUUUCCACACAAGUGGAAUGGUUAAAAGGCGGAUUUAUCUGCCGCUCAUGGAUGGGCCUGCGGUGCAUUAGCUAGUUGGUGAGGUAGUGGCUCACCAAGGCGACGAUGCAUAGCCGACCGUAGAGGGUGAUCGGCCACACGGGGACUGAGGCACGGCCCAGACUCCUACGGGAGGCAGCAGUAGGGAAUCUUCCGCAAUGGACGCAAGUCUGACGGAGCAACGCCGCGUGAGUGAUGAAGGGUUUCGGCUCGUAAAACUCUGUUGUUAAGGAAGAACACUUGAGGUAGUAACUGGCCUUGAGAUGACGGUACUUUACCAGAAAGCCACGGCUAACUACGUGCCAGCAGCCGCGGUAA
RNAcentral lists this ribosomal RNA (514 nucleotides) under uncultured bacterium. Its description in RNAcentral is "partial 16S ribosomal RNA". It matches the Rfam family "Bacterial small subunit ribosomal RNA", at positions 28 to 523 of the family's 1533-position model. The record is from RNAcentral.